GCCCUGAGUGGAGCCCAGGGGCAGAUCUGCGAUUCAGAAGAGGCCAGUGUUAAAAAGUCACAUUUUGGAGCCGACCUGCUCUUUGAGAAGAGAGAGGCAGAUUGUCGGCUCUUCGAGGCAGAGACUGUCUUUUUGUUCAGGGUCUAUACAGCACCUAGCGCGGUGGGGGUCAUGGUUCAUGACUGACAUGAAGCUCCUGGUCACAGUUUACCUCUCUCCAGACACGCAGCAGCGGUGAAUCAUGUAACAUACAGAGGGGCACGUUGCCCUGAGCCUGACACAUUCACUGUUCAUUGCAUACAGCACAGAAGAGCACAGAUCCUACAAAACAAUAAACAGUCUAAACUGCAA
This is a long non-coding RNA of Mauremys reevesii (Reeves's turtle), 351 nucleotides long. RefSeq lists it as uncharacterized. Lineage: Eukaryota; Metazoa; Chordata; Testudines; Geoemydidae. The record is from RefSeq and is a predicted model, not a curated record. The transcript is spliced from 2 exons.